RNAcentral lists this ribosomal RNA (428 nucleotides) under uncultured eukaryote. RNAcentral's name for it is "SSU rRNA". It matches the Rfam family "Eukaryotic small subunit ribosomal RNA", at positions 592 to 1017 of the family's 1831-position model. The record is from RNAcentral.
CAAGAGCGUAUAUUAAAGUUGUUGCAGUUAAAAAGCUCGUAGUUGGAUUUCUGGUUCUAUGCGCCUGGCCCGCGGCAGUAAUGCCUGUGAGUGCCGGUGCGCGUAGGCCAUCCUUCUAGAAAACGUCUCUACCGUUAACUCGGCUGGAUUCGCGAUCUAGAUCUUUUUACUUUGAAAAAAUUAGAGUGUUCAAAGCAGGCUUUUGCUGUGAAUACAUUAGCAUGGAAUAAUAAUCUAGGACUUCGGUUCUAUUUUGUGGUUUCUAGAAUUGAAGUAAUGAUUGAUAGGGAUAGUUGGGGGUGCUAGUAUUGGCCGGCCAGAGGUGAAAUUCUUGGAUUCGGUCAAGACUAACUUAUGCGAAAGCAUUCACCAAGGAUGUCUUCUUUAAUCAAGAACGAAAGUUGGGGAUCGAAGACGAUUAGAUACCA